GCUAGGUGCACAAAACUUAGUCAUUGGCUUGCUUUUCCUGGACUCCAAAAAACCUCAUCAUGAUAUUGUCCCCAUGGUCGCACAGUUGGGAGAUCUUGUCUAAUUAAGUUGUUAUUGUCAAAUGAUCUAAUCUGUAGUUCAAUGUCUACCAAAUUUGAUUCCGGGCAGUAGAUAUUGAUGCAGAUGUGGUGAAGACAACUUGGGCUGUAAGAAAGCCCAAUAGUGUGUAACAAAAAGGAGAGCCUAAAAUAUUGGUGGACCAUUGCCAUAACAUCUAGUGGACCAGG
This 287-nucleotide long non-coding RNA is filed under the name Elaeis guineensis (African oil palm). Its description in RNAcentral is "long non-coding RNA (EGUI_LNC012347)". The record is from RNAcentral. Lineage: Eukaryota; Viridiplantae; Streptophyta; Magnoliopsida; Arecales; Arecaceae.